RNAcentral lists this ribosomal RNA (554 nucleotides) under fungal sp. 192C2A. RNAcentral's name for it is "eukaryotic LSU rRNA". The stretch from base 210 to 363 matches the Rfam family "5.8S ribosomal RNA". The record is from RNAcentral. Lineage: Eukaryota; Fungi.
GGAUCAUUACCGAGUUUACAACUCCCAAACCCAAUGUGAACGUUACCAAACUGUUGCCUCGGCGGGAUCUCUGCCCCGGGUGCGUCGCAGCCCCGGACCAAGGCGCCCGCCGGAGGACCAACCAAAACUCUUUUUGUAUACCCCCUCGCGGGUUUUUUAUAAUCUGAGCCUUCUCGGCGCCUCUCGUAGGCGUUUCGAAAAUGAAUCAAAACUUUCAACAACGGAUCUCUUGGUUCUGGCAUCGAUGAAGAACGCAGCGAAAUGCGAUAAGUAAUGUGAAUUGCAGAAUUCAGUGAAUCAUCGAAUCUUUGAACGCACAUUGCGCCCGCCAGUAUUCUGGCGGGCAUGCCUGUCCGAGCGUCAUUUCAACCCUCGAACCCCUCCGGGGGGUCGGCGUUGGGGAUCGGCCCUCCCUUAGCGGGUGGCCGUCUCCGAAAUACAGUGGCGGUCUCGCCGCAGCCUCUCCUGCGCAGUAGUUUGCACACUCGCAUCGGGAGCGCGGCGCGUCCACAGCCGUUAAACACCCAACUUCUGAAAUGUUGACCUCGGAUCAG